RNAcentral lists this transfer RNA (76 nucleotides) under Erysipelothrix sp. RNAcentral's name for it is "tRNA-Gln". It matches the Rfam family "tRNA". From Rfam's summary of the family: Transfer RNA (tRNA) molecules are approximately 80 nucleotides in length. The record is from RNAcentral. Lineage: Bacteria; Bacillati; Bacillota; Erysipelotrichia; Erysipelotrichales; Erysipelotrichaceae.
UGGGGUAUAGCCAAGCGGUAAGGCAUCAGACUUUGACUCUGACAUCCCCCUGGUUCGAAUCCAGGUACCCCAGCCA